Molecule: ribosomal RNA, 886 nt
Filed under: Salmonella enterica
Lineage: Bacteria; Pseudomonadati; Pseudomonadota; Gammaproteobacteria; Enterobacterales; Enterobacteriaceae
Description: partial 23S ribosomal RNA
Rfam family: Bacterial large subunit ribosomal RNA
Source: RNAcentral
UCCUCCAAGGCUAAAUACUCCUGACUGACCGAUAGUGAACCAGUACCGUGAGGGAAAGGCGAAAAGAACCCCGGCGAGGGGAGUGAAAAAGAACCUGAAACCGUGUACGUACAAGCAGUGGGAGCCCCACCACUAAGCCAGUGGUGAACUCCACAUACGCAUCCUUUGCUGAGGAUACGGUUAACGGAGCGAAAGCGACGUUCAACCGCAAAAGAAGCAGAGGGGGCUUAGUGGUGGGGUGACUGCGUACCUUUUGUAUAAUGGGUCAGCGACUUAUAUUCUGUAGCAAGGUUAACCGAAUAGGGGAGCCGGAGGGAAACCGAGUCUUAAUUGGGCGUUAAGUUGCAGGGUAUAGACCCGAAACCCGGUGAUCUAGCCAUGGGCAGGUUGAAGGUUGGGUAACACUAACUGGAGGACCGAACCGACUAAUGUUGAAAAAUUAGCGGAUGACCUGUGGCUGGGGGUGAAAGGCCAAUCAAACCGGGAGAUAGCUGGUUCUCCCCGAAAGCUAUUUAGGUAGCGCCUCGUGAAUUCAUCUCCGGGGGUAGAGCACUGUUUCGGCUAGGGGGCCAUCCCGGCUUACCAACCCGAUGCAAACUGCGAAUACCGGAGAAUGUUAUCACGGGAGACACACGGCGGGUGCUAACGUCCGUCGUGAAGAGGGAAACAACCCAGACCGCCAGCUAAGGUCCCAAAGUCAUGGUUAAGUGGGAAACGAUGUGGGAAGGCCCAGACAGCCAGGAUGUUGGCUUAGAAGCAGCCAUCAUUUAAAGAAAGCGUAAUAGCUCACUGGUCGAGUCGGCCUGCGCGGAAGAUGUAACGGGGCUAAACCAUGCACCGAAGCUGCGGCAGCGACACUCAGGUGUCGUUGGGUAGGGGAGCGUUC